ACGAACGCUGGCGGCAUGCCUAAUACAUGCAAGUCGAGCGAAUGACGAAGAAGCUUGCUUCUUCUGAUUUAGCGGCGGACGGGUGAGUAACACGUGGGCAACCUGCCCUGUAGAUUGGGAUAACUCCGGGAAACCGGGGCUAAUACCAAAUAAUCCAUUUCCUCACAUGUGGAAAUGUUAAAAGACGGUUUCGGCUGUCACUACAGGAUGGGCCCGCGGCGCAUUAGCUAGUUGGUAGGGUAACGGCCUACCAAGGCGACGAUGCGUAGCCG
Molecule: ribosomal RNA, 272 nt
Filed under: Planococcaceae bacterium ISOM259_OTU789
Lineage: Bacteria; Bacillati; Bacillota; Bacilli; Caryophanales; Caryophanaceae
Description: partial 16S ribosomal RNA
Rfam family: Bacterial small subunit ribosomal RNA
Source: RNAcentral